Molecule: unclassified non-coding RNA, 251 nt
Filed under: Glomus sp.
Lineage: Eukaryota; Fungi; Glomeromycota; Glomeromycetes; Glomerales; Glomeraceae
Description: partial contains 5.8S ribosomal RNA and internal transcribed spacer 2
Rfam family: 5.8S ribosomal RNA (bases 1-71)
Source: RNAcentral
GUGAAUCAUCAAAUCUUUGAACGCAAAUUGCACUUUCUGGUAUUCCGGAAAGUAUGCCUGUUUGAGGGUCAGUUAAAUAAAAACGGUGUUGUUGUUGCAUUUCGUGGUGACGCGUCGGGAUUUAGUUGUCUUAGCUUCGGGUAAGUGACCUAAAAUUUUGCAUGAUUUUCGAACGUAUUUAAAUUUCUUAAGUAUGUUUGAGAUAUCGAAAUCUUUUUUAGGUUCGGUUAUCCUUAUGCUUUGUACCUAUA